ACAGUCCAGUAAUUAGGAUGAACACAGUAAGAUCAAUCAUUUCAAUUGCUGUGACAUAUAACUGGCAGCUAAGACAACUGGAUAUCAAAAAUGCCUUCCUAAAUGGCUUUCUAAACGAAACAGUAUACAUGAGACAACCAACUGGGUUUCAUAAUAAGAGUUAUCCAGAUCAUGUGUGUCUAUUACAUAAGGCUCUAUAUGGCUUAAAACAAGCACCCAGAGCUUGGUACUCAAGACUUCAAAAUUUUCUAGUUGAAAACGAAUUCAAAAAUAGUCUUACAGAUUCUUCAUUGUUCCUCAAAGUGAACAAUGGACAUAGAAUCUACAUACUAGUCUAUGUAGAUGAUAUUAUAAUUACUGGGGAUUCUAGUGAGGAAGUAAAUAGGUGCAUAGAAUUAAUAUGUAAACAAUUUUCAUGUAGAGACCUAGGGCUUCUUAACUAUUUUUUAGGAAUGGAAUGUAUAAGACAAGGGAAAACCAUAAUUCUAAGUCAAGAAAAAUAUGUGUCUGAUAUAUUGAAAAAAUUCAAUAUGAUGGAAUGCACACCAUGUAGGAUACCAAUGGUUCAAAAUCCAAGACUAAAUAAAAAUUCAGGGACUCCUAUAGAAAACAAUACAAUAUACAGAAACAUUGUAGGGUCCUUACAAUAUCUAACUAUGACUAGACCUGAUAUUGUCUUUUGUGUGAAUCAUCUUAGUCAGUUUCUACAAACACCAACUGAUGUACAUCUUAGUUUUGCUAAGAGGAUGCUAAGAUAUAUCAAGGGAUCUUCUAACCUAGGACUGAGAUUUACACCUUCAGUCAAACCAGUAAAUUCUUUGAUAGCCUACUGUGAUUCAGACUGGGCAAAUGAUACUGAUGAUAGGAGAUCAGUUUCUGGAUUCAGCAUCUGGUUUGCUGGAAAUUUGGUAGCCUGGGCAUCAAAGAAACAAGCAGUGGUAUCAAAAUCGAGUUGUGAGGCUGAAUACAGGGCACUAUCUGGGAUAACUUCAGAAGUUAAGUGGUUCUGUAAUUUGUUUAGGGAACUGGAGAUUAGGUUUGAGACAGCUCCACAAAUAUUAUGUGAUAAUAAAUCAGCAAUUUUUCUCACUAAAAAUCCAUCAUCAAACCUGAAAACUAGACAUAUAGAUAUCUCACACCAUUUUAUUAGAGAGCUGGUGAUGAAAGGGGCAAUAAAAGUGGAUUAUAUUGCUGCUAGUCAACAACUAGCAGAUGGUUUCACUAAAGUACUGGGAACAGGGCAAUUUAUGGUUCAUAGGGAUAGACAUAAACUAGUACCAACCAGUCCUGAUCCUAGAAUCAUAAUGAAGGACAAGAAUAGGCUAACAAAAUCGCAAGACAUAAGUAAACCAAAGCUAAUUAAGGAGGCUUAGGAGAAUGACUAUAUAAGGGAGACUAUAAUACUGGAUAUUAGUUUAGAUAUAUAAUAAUAAUAAUAAUAAUGAAAAUACUGAGGUGUUGUAUUUCUGAUUUCUGUUCUUAUAGUAAUACUUGUAUUCAUAUUAGGAAAUGUUAGAUAAAUAUGAUGUUGAAAAUUGCAGGGUGAUAAUCUGAAAUAUAUUCUAAAACUAUUUCUAGUUUUGGUUUGAUACAUAAUUUUGUCUGUUUGUUAAGGAAUGGUCUAUAUUUUUCUGUUUUUGGUUUGUGGGAAUGGCUACUGUGGAUGUAUGUUUGUGUGGUUGCAGGUCAUGCUAAGAUAGGUCAUGCCCAAAUAACUGGAAAUUUAAUCUGGAGCAGAAAAUGUGGAAUCUAGAGCAGCAGGAGCUUUGAGAAUGAGCAGCGAUUUUUUUUGUUUUGUUCUUUCUUUCAGGGUCUUAAUUGGUAUAACAGGAGGGUUUUCCCAGUAAAAAUGAAAGAAAGAGGAGCAAAAAUAAGAAUCCCAGCUGGGUUUUUCGCCCUACCUGUUAGCUCAAUUAAUUCAUAGCUGAGUUAGUUCACAAGACUACUAAGGAGGUGGACAGACAAGCUGAUGAUCAUACUCAUGUUCAAAUUCACAACUCAGGAUUGCAUUCUGGAGUUGUCAAUUUGCGGGGGAAUGUAAAGAGUUAAAAAUACUAUAAGGGGUUUUGUAUAAAUGUACCCAUAAUAUUAAGUAUAAGUAUAGGCUUUGUGUAAUGAUUAGUUAAGUUGAAUGUUAUAAUUCUUGAGUGUCAAUUAAAGAGUUUACUCUUUCUUCUUCUUGUUUUGACCUAACGACUUCAUUCUCCCCCUUUCUUCUAUCUUCUUCUUCUAUCAAUUUCUUGUUGAUGAUUCAGUGAAUGGAAACCUCUCCAGAUUUCUACAUGGUAUCUAGAGCUUUGUGAUUCGAUUGGGGCAUCUGGGCGUUAGGGCACGGCGAGCGCGGAAUCUUCUCAGCGUGAUUUCUUCUCGGCGUGAAUUGGAGCGGUUCCUGUUCUGUUCUUUUCUUUUCUUCCCGGCUACAGCGCGUGGUCUUUCUCUUCUCUUCUCGGCUGGCGUGGUCUUUCUUCUCGGCUGGCGUGGUCUUUCUUCUCGGCUGGCGUGGUCUUUCUCUUCUCUUCUCGGCGGCGUGAAUUUCUGGGUCUUUUCUUCUCGGCUGGCGUGGUCUUUCUUCGGCUACAGCGUGGUUCUUCUCGCCGAUUGAUUGCAAUCUGCGAUUGCAACUCUGGUUUGAAUUUUUUAUUUUUUAUUUAUUUCAUUUUUCUGUUAUCUGCAAUUGCAAGUUAUUGAACCAUUGAUUUCCAAAUUUUUUAAUUAGAUUCUGUUUGUGUUUGGAUUGAUCUGUAAGUCUGAAUUUGUUUGUGUUUGAUUUGCGUUAGAUUACGUGUUACAUUUGAUUUCAAUUUUUCAGAUUUUGUGUUCAUUGAUUUCAAUUUUUUUUUUAGAACCCAAAACGGUUGCUUGUGUCAUUGAUCCCUGGCAUUUUAUCGAUUUCUUCUAUUUCUCAUCUCGUUUUCGCCUCGUUGUUUCGUUGCUUGUUCCCCUAUAGUUUUAUUUGAUUUCGUUGGAAACUCCCUAUCAGUCUGCUAGUUUCUUUAAUCCUACUCGGUCGUUCUUUUCCAAUAGUUCAUUUGAGUGCGAUUAAAAUCUGUUUUGGGUUUACAGAUUACCUGUUAGUUUUGUUUGAGUUUACAAUAUUUUUUUUUUUUUAAUUUUCUCAUUUGAUUUAAUCUGUUUACAGAUUUGUUUUGCAUUUGAUUUCUGCGUUUUUAUCUGUUAGUAUUUUACUGAUAUUUUUUUUGCUGACAUCGAUUUGGUAUUUUCUUCUUCUUUAUUUGCCUGUUAGUAUUUGGUAUUUGGUAUUUUACUGUUAGUAUUCUUCUUCUUCUUAAAUUUUAGUUUUUUUUUUUUUUAUUUUUUUUUUUCUUUCUUUAAAUUUUGUCAUAGAUCUGUCGAUCUGUCAUCGAUCUGACAUUUUCUGUUUUUGGUUUAUGUUUUUUGUUGUUGUUGUUUGGUAAUUGAUUUCAUUGAUUUCAUCAAAUUUGUUGUUGUUUUUAGUUGUUUGUUUUUGCUGGUUAUUAAAUUUAAUUCUGAAUAAUUGCAUGCACAUAACUACAUUUUGUUUGCUUGUGUUGCAUACUAAUUAUAAAUUGUUUUUUUUUUGUUUUGUUGUUUUUGUUGUUUGGUAAUUGAUUUCAUUGAUUUCAUCAAAUUUGUUGUUGUUUUUAGUUGUUUGUUUUUGCUGGUUAUUAAAUUUAAUACUGAAUAAUUGCAUGCUAAAUCACAUAUGAAUUUAUCAGAUUGCAUGCUAAUAAAAAUAAUAAUAAUAAAUAAAUAAAAACAAAUAUCUGAUUGUGUAGUUUCUACCCACUUGAAAGUAGAUCAUAACUACAUUUUCUACUCAAUCGAUCGAUUGUGUAGUUUAUAGUUUGCUUGUAGUUGUAAAUUACAAUUGCCCAAGUGGUUAAUUGUUAUUUUGUUUGUGACGCAAGGAGCUGGUUUUUUUUUCUGGAUCUGCGAAUCAGCUUCUGUAAUCAUUGUUUUCUGUUGAGUGGCGAUUUCCAUCUUGAGCUAUGGCAGGAAUUGGAUCAAGUACAUCUGGUGCUGGAAGUGCAGCUGUGACAGCAAGGAUCGAAGUUCCUCAAAUGAUGUAUAGUAUUGCGUCACUCUGUCCCACACCUCUUUCAGAAGGGAAUUAUCUAGUAUGGAAAAAUCAAUUUGAAGGUGCAUUACAAAUACAUAAUUUGUUAGAUUUUAUUUCUGGAAAACUUGGGACUCCGGCUCUAAGAUUAAGUGAUGGCUCUGAAAAUCCGGCAUAUGCGUCUCACAAGAGGAACGAUGGCAUAGUGCUCAGUUGGAUUAAAGCCACGGUAUGUAAGGAAAUUCAGCCUCUACUUUUACCUUGUGUUACUGCAUAUGAGGCAUGGCAUAUUUUAGAAACAGAUAUUUCGCCUAUUGAUAAAAAUCAAAUUCAAACUCUUCGUGAUGAGUUGAAUUCACUAAGGAAGACAACAGAUAUUUCAAUGAAAGAAUAUAUUUUCAAGAUUAAGAGUUUGAAACACUCUCUAGCAGCAGCAGGAUAUUCAAUGUCUGAUGAAAGAGUGUCAGAGUAUGUUCUCAGAGGUCUUGGACCUGAAUUCCGUAUGUUUAGGACAUCUCUGAAUUUUCAGAAGGAUAUUACUUUUACAGAACUUGCAGAUGCUCUUAUUAAAGAAGAAAUUUUGAUGAAACAACUGGAUCAACCAACAACUGAAGGGGAUUAUCAGGUGCAUUAUUCCAAUUAUAAUAGGAAUAAUUUCAAUAGAAAUGCUAAAUUUUAUCCAGGGAAAGGCAAGAAUGGUGGUUCUUAUUAUAAACCAUCAUACAAAAAUCAAGGAACAAAGGUCAUAACUGUUCCUCCUCAAAUUGCUCGGAAUAAUUUGCCUCCCAUUCUGAAUCUACCAUCUUCACAGGACAACACAUCUACGUGUCAGAUUUGUGAGAAAAAAGGACAUCUGGCUAGAAAUUGCCCAGAUAGAGGUAAUUUUGCUGCCUAUGCCAUGGAGGAUGAUUAUGAUACUCAGAUAACUGGAAAUGAAGAAGAAGCAGCAGCAUAUUCUGUAACAGUCCAAGAUCUGGAUUGGUGUCUUGACUCAGGAGCUACUAAUCACAUGGUAGCUGAUGAAGCCUUGCUCCAUGACUGCCAGACCUAUACAGGUAUUGGGUGUGUUGUGAUUGGAUCUGGAGAUAGAUUAGUAAUUUCUAAAAUAGGAAAGUUAGACUUUGAAGUGCAUUCAAAGGUUUAUACACUUAAUAGAGUUUUAUGUGUGCCUAAGAUUAAGAAAAAUCUAAUUUCUGUGACUAAACUAUGUAGUGAUUUGAACUGUUAUAUACAGAUUUCACAGAAGGAAUUUUCAGUGAAGAGCCUGAAGAUGCAUCAGACGCUUUUUUCUGGAAUUAAUAAAAGAGGGCUAUACUAUUUCAGCCCGGACAUCAACUGUAAUUUGGGUAUCAAGAUCUCUUCAGAUACAUGGCACAAGAGACUAGGACAUCCUUCUCUCAAAAUCAUGAAUAAAAUAGGACAUGUAUUAGGAUUAAACAAUUCAGAUUUAAAAUCUUUAGAAUUUUGUAAUAACUGUCCUAUGGCAAAAAUGUCGAAAUUACCUUUUUCUUGUAAUGAAAUAAAAACUUCUUUUCCAUUGGAAAUAAUACAUAUAGAUCUAUGGGGUCCAGCCCCAAUUGUUUCAAUGAAAAAUUAUAAAUUUUUUGCAACAAUUGUAGAUAAUAAAACAAGGUAUACAUGGAUUAUACUAUUAAGGGCUAAAAGUGAUUUUACUGAUCAGUUUAUUCUAUUUCAGAAAAAUAUAGAAAACCAGUUAGGGCGAAAAAUUAAGAAAAUUUAUUCAGAUGAGGGUGGUGAAUUUCUUAGUACCAAGCUGAAAACUUGGCUAGGACAAAAAGGAAUAACACAUAGAUUCUCAUGUCCCUAUACACCUCAACAAAAUGGGAUCGUUGAGAGGAAACAUAGACACCUGCUUGAGACCAGCAGAUGUUUUUUUACUCAAUCAGGAAUUCCAAAAAAAUAUGUGGCCAGAGGUCAUCUCUGCAGCAUGUUUUCUGAUAAAUAGGUUACCUAGUUCUGUUUUAGGGUUCAUAUCUCCCUUUGAGAUGUUAACCAAAAAUAAACCAGAUUAUAAAAUACUGAAAUUAUUUGGUUGUUCAUGUUAUCCCUUAAUAAGUAAAGGAUUAAGGAAUAAAUUUGAACCUACUGCCUAUAAAUGUGUCUUUAUAGGGUAUUCAAACAAACACAAAGGAUAUAUGUGUUUAAAGUUAGAAGAUAAUAAAGUCAUUAUAUCUCGAAAUGUCAAAUUUAAUGAAAAUGAGUAUCCUUUUUUAACUAAAACAGAUACUAAAACAGUAAAGAAGCCUGAAAAGCAAAUGAUAAUACUUCCAAGACUAGCUACUACAAUAAAUUUUGGCUUUCCUAUAAAUACAGGAAACUCAAACAGUGAGUUAAGGGUAGAACCAGAGUCAAGUCCUGUAAGGAGAGUUACUCACUCACAACAGAACAACUCUAAAAAUGACUCAAUGGAUAUAAUCUCAGAGUCAACUGAGAUAAGUAGCUUAGUACCCCAGACCAUGCGAGUUGAGUCAGAUAUGCAAUCUAACACUAGAAGUGAGACAAGACAACAAAGAGAUAUUUCUGAGAAUCAAACAAACACAGUUUGUAACUCAAUAUCACGAGAUAUAAGUAGUAGAUCUGAAGAACCAAUCAACAUAGGAGUUAGAUAUCCGACUAGAGAUAGAAAAGCACCAAAGUUUUUAGAAAAUUAUGAGUGUAAUUCAUGCUCUGGCGAAGAGAUAGAACCAUCCACCUUCAGUGAGGCAAGUAAAGAACCUAAGUGGAAGGAGGCAAUGCAAGAGGAACUGGAUGCAUUGAAAAUUAACAAAACAUGGACUUUAGUACCAAAAAAUUCGUCAAUGAAUAUAGUAGGUUGUAAGUGGGUCUAUAAAAUUAAAAAGAACUCAGAUGGUUCAAUAGAAAGGUACAAAGCUAGAUUAGUAGCUAAGGGCUACAAUCAGGAGGAAGGAGUGGACUAUACAGAGACUUACAGUCCAGUAAUUAGGAUGAACACAGUAAGAUCAAUCAUUUCAAUUGCUGUGACAUAUAACUGACAGCUAAGACAACUGGAUAUCAAAAAUGCCUUCCUAAAUGGCUUUCUAAACGAAACAGUAUACAUGAGACAACCAACUGGGUUUCAUAAUAAGAGUUAUCCAGAUCAUGUGUGUCUAUUACAUAAGGCUCUAUAUGGCUUAAAACAAGCACCCAGAGCUUGGUACUCAAGACUUCAAAAUUUUCUAGUUGAAAACGAAUUCAAAAAUAGUCUUACAGAUUCCUCAUUGUUCCUCAAAGUGAACAAUGGACAUAGAAUCUACAUACUAGUCUAUGUAGAUGAUAUUAUAAUUACUGGGGAUUCUAGUGAGGAAGUAAAUAGGUGCAUAGAAUUAAUAUGUAAACAAUUUUCAUGUAGAGACAUAGGGCUUCUUAACUAUUUUUUAGGAAUGGAAUGUAUAAGACAAGGGAAAACCAUAAUUCUAAGUCAAGAAAAAUAUGUGUAUGAUAUAUUGAAAAAAUUCAAUAUGAUGGAAUGCACACCAUGUAGGACACCAAUGGUUCAAAAUCCAAGACUAAAUAAAAAUUCAGGGACUCCUAUAGAAAACAAUACAAUAUACAGAAACAUUGUAGGGUCCUUACAAUAUCUAACUAUGACUAGACCUGAUAUUGUCUUCUGUGUGAAUCAUCUUAGUCAGUUUCUACAAACACCAACUGAUGUACAUCUUAGUUUUGCUAAGAGGAUGCUAAGAUAUAUUAAGGGAUCUUCUAACCUAGGACUGAGAUUUACACCUUCAGUCAAACCAGUAAAUUCUUUGAUAGCCUACUGUGAUUCAGACUGGGCAAGUGAUACUGAUGAUAGGAGAUCAGUGUCUGGAUUCAGCAUCUGGUUUGCUGGAAAUUUGGUAGCCUGGGCAUCAAAGAAACAGGCAGUGGUAUCAAAAUCGAGUUGUGAGGCUGAAUACAGGGCACUAUCUGGGAUAACUUCAGAAGUUAAGUGGUUCUGUAAUUUGUUUAGGGAACUGGAGAUUAGGUUUGAGACAGCUCCACAAAUAUUAUGUGAUAAUAAAUCAGCAAUUUUUCUCACUAAAAAUCCAUCAUCAAACCUGAAAACUAGACAUAUAGAUAUCUCACACCAUUUUAUUAGAGAGCUGGUGAUGAAAGGGGCAAUAAAAGUGGAUUAUAUUGCUGCUAGUCAACAACUAGCAGAUGGUUUCACUAAAGUACUGGGAACAGGGCAAUUUAUGGUUCAUAGGGAUAGACAUAAACUAGUACCAACCAGUCCUGAUCCUAGAAUCAUAAUGAAGGACAAGAAUAGGCUAACAAAAUCGCAAGACAUAAGUAAACCAAAGCUAAUUAAGGAGGCUUAGGAGAAUGAUUAUAUAAGGGAGACUAUAAUACUGGGUAUUAGUUUAUAUAUAUAAUAAUAAUAAUAAUAAUAAUAAUGAAAAUACUGAGGUGUUGUAUUUCUGAUUUCUGUUCUUAUAGUAAUACUUGUAUUCAUAUUAGGAAAUGUUAGAUAAAUAUGAUGUUGAAAAUUGCAGGGUGAUAAUCUGAAAUAUAUUCUAAAAUUAUUUCUAGUUUGGUUUGAUACAUAAUUUUGUUUGUUUGUUAAGGAAUGGUCUAUAUUUUUCUGGUUUGGUUUGUGGGAAUGGCUACUGUGGAUGUAUGUUUGUGUGGUUGCAGGUCAUACUAAGAUAGGUCAUGCCCAAAUAGCUGGAAAUUUAAUCUGGAGCAGAAAAUGUGAAAUCUAGAGCAGCAGGAGCUUUGAGAAUGAGCAGCGAGUUUUUUUGUUUGUUCUUUCUUUCAGGGUCUUAAUUGGCAUAACAGGAGGGUUUUCCCAGUAAAAAUGAAAGAAAGAGGAGCAAAAAUAAGAAUCCCAGCUGGGUUUUUCGCCCCCCCUGUUAGUUCAAUUAAUUCAUAGCUGAGUUAGUUCACAAGGCUGCUAAGGAGGUGGACAGACAAGCUGAUGAUCAUACUCAUGUUCAAAUUCACAACUCAGGAUUGCAUUCUGGAGUUGUCAAUUUGCGGGGGAAUGUAAAGAGUUAAAAUACUAUAAAGGGUAUUUUAUAAAUGUACCCAUAAUAUCAAGUAUAAGUAUAGGCUUAAUGUGUAAUGAUUGAAUAAGUUGAAUGUUAUAAUUUUGAGUGUCAAUUAAAGAGUUUUUGCUCUACUCUUUUUCUUCUUGUUUGACCUAACAACUUCCAUUCACCCCCUUUCUUCUAUCUUCUUCUUCUAUCAUUUUCUUGUUAAUGAAUCAUUGAGGAAACCUCUCCAGAUUUCUACAU
RNAcentral lists this long non-coding RNA (9279 nucleotides) under Zostera marina. Its description in RNAcentral is "long non-coding RNA (ZMAR_LNC004674)". The record is from RNAcentral. Lineage: Eukaryota; Viridiplantae; Streptophyta; Magnoliopsida; Alismatales; Zosteraceae.